This is a long non-coding RNA of Daphnia pulex (common water flea), 1390 nucleotides long. RefSeq lists it as uncharacterized. NCBI's taxonomy places the organism in Eukaryota, Metazoa, Arthropoda, Branchiopoda, Diplostraca, Daphniidae. The record is from RefSeq and is a predicted model, not a curated record. The transcript is spliced from 3 exons.
GCUACAGGUGUUGCAGGAUGGGAUUUCAGACGAUCCUAGACAAUCAAUUUUUACGUUACCCUUUCUCUAUCUCAGUAAAAGGCCACACGUGAUAGCGUCAACUCCUCCAUGUAAUUAAUGACGAAAAAUAAGUUGAAGAUUAAUGCGCACAAUUUCAGACAAGUUGCGCAGUUUUUGGCAAUCACGUGGUUUCAAUAUGCGGUUUCCAAGGAUCCAAAGGAUUGCUUCACUCUGAAGGUUAACAAGUCCACACUGCUGCGCUAGCUGAUUGGAUUUCACACAACACAAAGAUUGGCGACAAGUCCCCAUUUGUAUCGUUUUAAUAUAAAAGAUAACCAACACAGAUUCUAAUUAGCGCCUGGCGGAUGCCAUCCUCUGAUAGAACUGCGCAUCGGACGACUUAUUAUCGCCUUUGUUAUGUUUUGAAAAACAGAAAUGGGCCGAACUUUGUUGUGUUAAGAAGGUUAUUGAGCCUAUAUGAGGAAAGAACUUUGACGCUGUAGACAAGUUGAAAAUAGGCCGAGUUUUAUAUAAGAUUCCCAGAAACCGAAUACGUCGAUAACUUUGUUUGUUUAUAUUUACACUAUUCCAAGAUUUUUAAAUAGAGACGCGGAGAGUUUUAUUGCGUUAUGUGAUCUGUUGUGAAAUUCAAACAGCGUCGCAUCAUCGCGAACUUCGUCACUAAAAUGCGUAUUUGAGGAACAUGAGGAAAUAAGAUCCUGUUGUAUUUUUUUAAGACAUACUGUUACCAUCACAAGAAACUUAAUAAUCACGCGUGCUGCCGACGCAUGCGGGUUUAUUUUGAUUCCAACUUUUUCUGAUCGAAGUCAUAAUAAGUUGUUGUUAAUAUUUUAACCCAGUUGCUAUACAUGGCAUUGAAAAACUUGCGACAUGGCCUCGGUUGAUCGGAAUAAUACCAGAAUUAAUCAUUCGACUCUUCCCGUCCAACAUUCGAAAAAGGAAAUACGCAAAGAUUAGAUAGGAUGGUUCGUCUUGCAGUACUCAUGGUAUUUUUGGCUUUGAUUGUUUGUUCAGCUCUGGCUCAACACAACAAUUAUCAUUACAAUCCGCCAGGCCAUCACCAUCACGGUCAUCAUCAUGGACAUCAUCAUCAUCAUCAUCAUGGACAUCACCAUCAUCAUCAUGGACAUCACCACGGCUAAAUCAGCGACCAAAACGGCCAAAGUACUCCAUACCAUUACAUCUGCGCUAAGGACAAUUGAUAGUAAAGACACAAUUUUGUAUAUCAAUGUGACACUAGACCAUAUGUUUCACUGUGACACCAGACCAUAUGGUAUUUUCAUUUGCGCUUUGACCAGUUGAUAGUAAAGUCACUCAGUUGUGUUACACUGUGACACGUAGAACAAAUAAAAAACUACAUUUGGAGAAA